This 43-nucleotide non-coding RNA is filed under the name Trypanosoma brucei brucei. Lineage: Eukaryota; Euglenozoa; Kinetoplastea; Trypanosomatida; Trypanosomatidae. The record is from RNAcentral.
AAAUAAAUAUAUGAGAGUUUUACAGUGAAGAUAUAUGUGAAAU